AUGCAUGUUUCACCUCUUACAGGCAUGGAGAAGAUAAACUUCUCAGGCGGAGAGCCAUUCAUCCAUGACCGGGGCGAGUACCUGGGCCAGCUGGUAAAGUUCUGCAAAGAGGAGCUGCACCUGCCCAGCGUGAGCAUCGUGAGCAACGGGAGCCUGAUCCGCGAGCGGUGGUUCAAGAAUUACGGUCUUCCAGUGCCUCAUAAUUGAGGGCGAGAAUGCUGGAGAAGAUGCUCUGAGACAGGCAGAGCGGUUCGUUAUCAGUGAUGAGGAGUUUGAGAGAUUUCUGGACCGCCACAAAGAGGUGUCCUGCUUGGUGCCCGAGUCCAACCAGAAGAUGAAAGAUUCCUACCUUAUUCUGGAUGAAUAUAUGCGCUUCCUGAAUUGUAGAAACGGGCGGAAGGAUCCUUCCAAGUCCAUUUUGGAUGUUGGAGUACAAGAAGCUAUAAAAUUCAGCGGGUUUGAUGAAAAGAUGUUUCUGAAGCGAGGAGGAAAGUAUGCAUGGAGCAAGGCAGAUCUGAAGCUGGACUGGUAAAGCUGGGAGUGGAUCAAGCCUUCAGCCCACCUGGGGCGACUCUUCCUAAGACUCCAAGUGUCGUGGCCAUUGUGAGCAGUGAUUCCUAUGGGCAUUUCUCCAUGGCCCCAAAUCUGACUUCCUGUGACACAGCUAUCUGAUUAUCUGUGGUGACUGAACACAUCAAUAUCUUGGGUCAUUGAAAUCCAUAGAUAAUGCAAAAUAAUACCUUUAGUUAAUUAGCUUAUUUUGGAUUUAAUGUUUUUUGAGCAGUGUGCACUGUAACUCCUGCAUUUCCAUUUUGAAGUUAUUUUUCCAGUUCUUUUAUUUGAUACAGUUUUUUUUUCUGUUAAAUAUCAAGAUGCCGAUUUUCACAUCUGGAAAAAUUACUAAGUAUCUCACCUGAUUAUUUCUCCUCCUUGGUAUCCUCUUCCCUUUUCUGGCUUUACACCAUUGCAGUCUUGAAUUUUGUACCCAGAAGUUUAGAAAUAGUUGACAGUUGUUCCAAAAUGAUAAUCUUAUCAGUCUUCAAUAAGUGGCUAGAAGGAGAUAAUCAAUCUGCCCAUGCUUUGCACGCCCGGGGCCCACACUGACUAGUCCUGGACCAUCUGCUGUCUCUGUUGGUCACCUUUCUCUUCCAAGGUUCUUAGCAAAAUGAAGAUACACUUUGCAUUUCAUGAUGAAGCUGACAUGGAGUCAGGGCUUGGGUUGCUUUGUGAACCUAUUGCUCAAGCCGCAUGAAUCCAUCAAGCAACAAUAUGUGGGUUUAUUUAAAUAGGUGGCUGUCCCCAUGUCUCUGAAAAGUGACAGCUUAUUGGAUUGGCAUGAGUUGCUCUGAAAAAUCACCAGGCAGAUAAGAAAUGGAUGAAGAGUCUAGAAUGUACCUGGAUUUUAUGUAAAUGAAGCCAUGGUACCAUAGAAUAUUUUUUAAGUAACUCUGAACCACUUGGAAUCAGAAUAUAAUCUAGGUCAAUAUGAGAAGAUACAGUAUCUUCCCUUUCUACACCCAAGAAAAGGGCUUGAGGGACAACGUCAUUGAAACUGGGUCAGGGAACAAAAUCCUCUCCUGUGGAACUAUCACGUGCAGCUUGUUUAUGUACCUUAGGCAGUAUCUCACUGCCGGGAAGAUAAUAAUCCCCUAUCACUGUUUCAAAAAAAGCAAAAUCAUGGAAAAUUUUUUGCCCAUGCAAAGAAAAAUGUUAAUCCAGCCGCCAUUCCAGAGUCGACCACUAGAUGGCAUUUCAGUGUUGCCUGAUUGCCCUGGGCGGCUGAAACGGCACUUCGUAAACUGUUUUCAAGGCCUGGUGAUUUUGAAAGUUUGGUUUUGUAAUAAUUUUUACUCAGAAAAGAUAUUCCUACUUCAAAUUGUGAGUCUCUUUAAUUCAACUGAAAUAUCUUUGUGUCCCAUUUUAAACAGAAUGGGUUGUCAUGAGUUUUCCAUUUUAUAUUGUUUUAUAGUUUUAUAGUUUAAAGAGAAAACUGAAUUAGAAAGCUUUUAUCCCAUAUGGGUUUUGAUAGUAUCUAAGAUAUAAUGACCUUAGUAUAAUCAAUACAAACAUAAAAGAGCUUUUUUACUUAAUAUGAAUGCACUUUGCUAAUCUUCACAUUAUUCAACUAGAGUCAGUUCCACAAACAAGAUCAUGUAUGUGAAAACACUGAAGGCGUUGCAUACAGCAGGUGCUCAGUCAUUAUUAUUUGAAGCAAAAUCUGAAUCUGAAGCUCAGCUCCUCUGGGUUGGAAUGAAUUUCUCUCCAGCUGAAGAAAAAUACUUCUCUUUCCCCAAAGGGCAGUACAACACAAAACUGAAAGCUGCACUUGAGAAAUCAGCAUUUCUAGCUGUUAUUCUAGCUGCAUUUUCCAGCCGUUUUUACGUCACCAUUCCUCUUUCUUAUGUAAUUUCUGGAUUUGAACAUAAUAUUCAAAAUGUUUGAAUAGUUAUUUUUCUUAAGAGGGGGAUAGUAGGGACAUUUAGCAUUAGAGUAAAACUCAAAUUUAGUUUUUAUAUCACGUUGCUUUAUUUUUUCAGUUGUAAAUGAGUUUCAGUUUUGUGAAACAUAUUCCUUUUUUAAAAAAUGGUAAUUUAAUGGAGGUUAUCUCAAUUGAAGUUGAGCGUGUAUAGAAAAUCUCAGAUUUUAAGGAAAUAUAUAUAUUUAUAUAUUUGUCUCCAUAUGUAAUACUCUUGAAUAUUGGUCUGAUGUGUUGUAAGAUGUUUUCUAAUAUAUUAAAAUAUUUUUAGUGGAUA
This is a non-coding RNA of Manis javanica (Malayan pangolin), 2753 nucleotides long. Lineage: Eukaryota; Metazoa; Chordata; Mammalia; Pholidota; Manidae. The record is from RefSeq and is a predicted model, not a curated record.